Molecule: ribosomal RNA, 477 nt
Filed under: uncultured bacterium
Lineage: Bacteria
Description: bacterial SSU rRNA
Rfam family: Bacterial small subunit ribosomal RNA
Source: RNAcentral
AGAGUUUGAUCAUGGCUCAGAUUGAACGCUGGCGGCAGGCUUAACACAUGCAAGUCGAGCGGGGGAAGGUAGCUUGCUACUGGACCUAGCGGCGGACGGGUGAGUAAUGCUUAGGAAUCUGCCUAUUAGUGGGGGACAACAUCUCGAAAGGGAUGCUAAUACCGCAUACGUCCUACGGGAGAAAGCAGGGGAUCUUCGGACCUUGCGCUAAUAGAUGAGCCUAAGUCGGAUUAGCUAGUUGGUGGGGUAAAGGCCUACCAAGGCGACGAUCUGUAGCGGGUCUGAGAGGAUGAUCCGCCACACUGGGACUGAGACACGGCCCAGACUCCUACGGGAGGCAGCAGUGGGGAAUAUUGGACAAUGGGGGGAACCCUGAUCCAGCCAUGCCGCGUGUGUGAAGAAGGCCUUAUGGUUGUAAAGCACUUUAAGCGAGGAGGAGGCUACUUUAGUUAAUACCUAGAGAUAGUGGACGUUACU